AGAACAAGAAGCUUUAGUGACCAUUAGAGCCGGUGAAAUCAACACAAAAAAGUUGUUAUAGGUUGUUAUGAUUGGUGGAUGGAUAAGGUUCAGGAUCAGUCAUUGAUUGUGGGUGUGGGAUUAAAUUGUAUUCUUCAGGAGAGAGAAAAGAGAAUGAGUUGGUAAGAAAGAAACACAAAUAGAGAUUUUCCGGUGAGUGAAAACCUCGAGAGCUCUGUAUCCAUAGUGAGUUAAUGCCAGCAAUCAUUCACUUCUGUUCUUAGUGAAUUCCGAGGAUAUUCUCAGCCAGACGUAGGGUCGCAGUUAAGCAAACAGG
RNAcentral lists this long non-coding RNA (316 nucleotides) under Eutrema salsugineum. RNAcentral's name for it is "long non-coding RNA (ESAL_LNC000505)". The record is from RNAcentral. Lineage: Eukaryota; Viridiplantae; Streptophyta; Magnoliopsida; Brassicales; Brassicaceae.